UGUGUGUGUGUGUGUGUGUGUGUGUGUGUGUGGGGCGUUGGUGAACGCGUGUACCUGCCUGCCCGGACGAGUCUGAUAAUGGUGUGAACCAAAAGCGGUGCGACGAGUAUUGGAACAUCCCCGCAAACAAAAGCCCAGAUGGCGACUGAUCCAAAACCUAGCUCACAGAUUCAGCUGCGCUGGCCGCAAUUUAACCCCCUACGCCAACCCCUCAGCCCGGGUGACGGCCAAGGUCGCAGACGCUCAUUCGAGAUAGUGGAAGGAAUUAGAUAAGGGCUGAGCGGCCCUCAUCUGGCUAAGCCUGCCUGAACGCAACACGGGAGGUAAACACACAGGGAAGGAAGGACUCCGAGGGGCUACAGAUGGUGCGCCCUGGGCCUGGUGACUGAAGCUCCCAAUGAGCUCCUUUUGGA
Molecule: long non-coding RNA, 413 nt
Organism: Syngnathus acus (greater pipefish)
Lineage: Eukaryota; Metazoa; Chordata; Actinopteri; Syngnathiformes; Syngnathidae
Exons: 4
Source: RefSeq, a predicted model, not a curated record